AUGCUUGUCUCAGCAGCACAUAAACUAUAAUGGAGACCAUAGAGAGAUUAGCAUGGCCCCUGCACAAGGAUGACAUGCAAACUGGUGAAGCAUCCCAUAUUGUU
Molecule: small nuclear RNA, 104 nt
Organism: Sorex fumeus (smoky shrew)
Lineage: Eukaryota; Metazoa; Chordata; Mammalia; Eulipotyphla; Soricidae
Source: RefSeq, a predicted model, not a curated record